CGCGGCCUAUCAGCUUGUUGGUGAGGUAACGGCUCACCAAGGCAUCGACGGGUAGCUGGUCUGAGAGGAUGAUCAGCCACACUGGGACUGAGACACGGCCCAGACUCCUACGGGAGGCAGCAGUGGGGAAUAUUGCACAAUGGGCGCAAGCCUGAUGCAGCAACGCCGCGUGCGGGAUGAAGGCCCUAGGGUUGUAAACCGCUUUCAGCAGGGAAGAAAAUGACGGUACCUGCAGAAGAAGGUGCGGCCAACUACGUGCCAGCAGCCGCGGUGACACGUAGGCACCAAGCGUUGUCCGGAUUUAUUGGGCGUAAAGAGCUCGUAGGCGGUUCAGUAAGUCGGGUGUGAAACCUCUGGGCUCAACCCAGAGACGCCACCCGAUACUGCUGUGACUUGAGUACGGUAGGGGAGCGGGGAAUUCCUGGUGUAGCGGUGAAAUGCGCAGAUAUCAGGAGGAACACCAGUGGCGAAGGCGCCGCUCUGGGCCGUAACUGACGCUGAGGAGCGAAAGCGUGGGUAGCAAACAGGAUUAGAUACCCUGGUAGUCCACGCCGUAAACGUUGGGCACUAGGUGUGGGUCUCGACCAACGAGAUCCGCGCCGUCGCUAACGCAUUAAGUGCCCCGCCUGGGGAGUACGG
This 639-nucleotide ribosomal RNA is filed under the name uncultured bacterium. Its description in RNAcentral is "bacterial SSU rRNA". It matches the Rfam family "Bacterial small subunit ribosomal RNA", at positions 232 to 885 of the family's 1533-position model. The record is from RNAcentral.